GUUUUUAUAAUUUAAAUGAAAAUAUUAAUUUUGUAAAUUAAAUUUAAGUAUAAACUUUAAAAGCU
RNAcentral lists this transfer RNA (65 nucleotides) under Nyctiophylax orbicularis. RNAcentral's name for it is "tRNA-Thr". Lineage: Eukaryota; Metazoa; Arthropoda; Insecta; Trichoptera; Polycentropodidae. The record is from RNAcentral.